Molecule: ribosomal RNA, 497 nt
Filed under: uncultured bacterium
Lineage: Bacteria
Description: partial 16S ribosomal RNA
Rfam family: Bacterial small subunit ribosomal RNA
Source: RNAcentral
AUUGAACGCUGGCGGCAUGCCUUACACAUGCAAGUCGAACGGUAACAGGUCUUCGGAUGCUGACGAGUGGCGAACGGGUGAGUAAUACAUCGGAACGUGCCCGAUCGUGGGGAUAACUACUCGAAAGAGUAGCUAAUACCGCAUACGAUCUACGGAUGAAAGCGGGGGAUCUUCGGACCUCGUGCGGACGGAGCGGCCGAUGGCAGAUUAGGUAGUUGGUGGGAUAAAAGCUUACCAAGCCGACGAUCUGUAGCUGGUCUGAGAGGACGACCAGCAACACUGGGACUGAGACACGGCCCAGACUCCUACGGGAGGCAGCAGUGGGGAAUUUUGGACAAUGGGCGAAAGCCUGAUCCAGCAAUGCCGCGUGCAGGAUGAAGGCCUUCGGGUUGUAAACUGCUUUUGUACGGAACGAAAAGACUCCUUCUAAUACAGGGGGUCCAUGACGGUACCGUAAGAAUAAGCACCGGCUAACUACGUGCCAGCCGCCGCCGUAA